This 433-nucleotide ribosomal RNA is filed under the name uncultured bacterium. RNAcentral describes it as "partial 16S ribosomal RNA". It matches the Rfam family "Bacterial small subunit ribosomal RNA", at positions 29 to 507 of the family's 1533-position model. The record is from RNAcentral.
AACGAACGCUGGCGGCAUGCCUAACACAUGCAAGUCGAACGAGACCUUCGGGUCUCGUGGCGCACGGGUGCGUAACGCGUGGGAACCUGCCCUUAGGUUCGGAAUAACUCCCCGAAAGGGGUGCUAAUACCGGAUAAUGUCUUCGGACCCAAGAUUUAUCGCCUUUGGAUGGGCCCGCGUUGGAUUAGCUAGUUGGUAGGGUAAAAGCCUACCAAGGCGAAGAUCCAUAGCUGGUCUGAGAGGAUGAACAGCCACACUGGGACUGAGACACGGCCCAGACUCCUACGGGAGGCAGCAGUGGGGAAUAUUGGACAAUGGGCGAAAGCAUGAUCCAGCAAUGCCGAGUGAGUGAUGAAGGACUUAGGGUUGUAAAGCUCUUUUACCCGGGAUGAUAAUGACAGUACCGGGAGAAUAAGCGCAGGCUAACUCCGUG